This 496-nucleotide ribosomal RNA is filed under the name uncultured bacterium. RNAcentral describes it as "partial 16S ribosomal RNA". It matches the Rfam family "Bacterial small subunit ribosomal RNA", at positions 28 to 506 of the family's 1533-position model. The record is from RNAcentral.
GAUGAACGCUGGCGGCGUGCCUAAUACAUGCAAGUCGAGCGAACGGACGAGAAGCUUGCUUCUCUGAUGUUAGCGGCGGACGGGUGAGUAACACGUGGAUAACCUCCCUAUAAGACUGGGAUAACUUCGGGAAACCGGAGCUAAUACCGGAUAAUAUUUUGAACCGCAUGGUUCAAAAGUGAAAGACGGUCUUGCUGUCACUUAUAGAUGGAUCCGCGCUGCAUUAGCUAGUUGGUAAGGUAACGGCUUACCAAGGCAACGAUGCAUAGCCGACCUGAGAGGGUGAUCGGCCACACUGGAACUGAGACACGGUCCAGACUCCUACGGGAGGCAGCAGUAGGGAAUCUUCCGCAAUGGGCGAAAGCCUGACGGAGCAACGCCGCGUGAGUGAUGAAGGUCUUCGGAUCGUAAAACUCUGUUAUUAGGGAAGAACAUAUGUGUAAGUAACUGUGCACAUCUUGACGGUACCUAAUCAAAAAGCCACGGCUAACUACGU